This 348-nucleotide long non-coding RNA is filed under the name Nicotiana benthamiana. Its description in RNAcentral is "long non-coding RNA (NBEN_LNC003560)". Lineage: Eukaryota; Viridiplantae; Streptophyta; Magnoliopsida; Solanales; Solanaceae. The record is from RNAcentral.
UUGGUUGAUCGGCUUCACUGGUGGCUACGGAGGUGGACGUUCAUGGCUGGAGGGUGGUUAUGGUCGUUUCUGGAACGAGGCAGAAGUAGAAAUGAGCUGCUGCAUCAAUGGCAUGAGGGUGAAGGCGUUAGGUUGUUGUUGUUGGUGUUAGUCAGUGUGGUCGUGUGGACUGGAGACGGUGGAACAUGGUGGUCGUUUGGGCUGGGUUCGACGGACGCUGGACUGACUGCUGGGUAAAGACGGGCGAAGAAAAAGGAGCAGCGGUGGUUGAUGGACGGUGACCUGAGGUUGGGCAGUGAGGUUGUUUGGAAUAGGGUUUUUUGGUGUUCUUGUCUUCUUGUGUUUUUG